Molecule: ribosomal RNA, 378 nt
Filed under: uncultured organism
Description: partial 16S ribosomal RNA
Rfam family: Bacterial small subunit ribosomal RNA
Source: RNAcentral
GUAGGGGGGCUAGCGUUGUCCGGGAUUCAUUGGGGCGUAAAGAGCGUGUAGGCGGUUCAAUAGGUCCGGGUGUGAAAACUCGAGGGCUCAACCUCGAGAGGUCGCCGGAAACCAUUGAGCUAGAGUCCGGAGGAGGAGAGUGGAAUUCCUGGUGUAGCGGUGAAAUGCGCAGAUAUCAGGAAGAACACCCAUGGCGAAGGCAGCUCUCUGGGACGGUACUGACGCUGAGACGCGAAAGCGUGGGGAGCGAACAGGAUUAGAUACCCUGGUAGUCCACGCCGUAAACGAUGGGCACUAGGUGUGGGUGGUGUCGACUCCAUCCGUGCCGAAGCUAACGCAUUAAGUGCCCCGCCUGGGGAGUACGGCCGCAAAGGCUAA